CCUACGGGAGGCAGCAGUAGGGAAUAUUGCUCAAUGAGGGAAACCCUGAAGCAGCAACGCCGCGUGGAGGAUGAAGGUUUUCGGAUUGUAAACUCCUUUUGUUAGAGAAGAUAAUUACGGUAUCUAACGAAUAAGCACCGGCUAACUCCGUGCCAGCAGCCGCGGUAAUACGGCGGGUGCAAGCGUUACUCGGAAUCACUGGGCGUAAAGAGAGCGUAGGCGGGAUAGCAAGUCAGAUGUGAAGUCCUAUGGCUUAACCAUAGAACUGCAUUUGAAACUGUUAUUCUAGAGUAUGGGAGAGGUAGGUGGAAUUCUUGGUGUAGGGGUAAAAUCCGUAGAGAUCAAGAGGAAUACUCAUUGCGAAGGCGACCUGCUAGAACAUAACUGACGCUGAUGCGCGAAAGUGUGGGGAGCAAACAGGAUUAGAUACCCCUGUAGUC
This 440-nucleotide ribosomal RNA is filed under the name uncultured bacterium. RNAcentral describes it as "partial 16S ribosomal RNA". It matches the Rfam family "Bacterial small subunit ribosomal RNA", at positions 338 to 795 of the family's 1533-position model. The record is from RNAcentral.